UCGGAGCAGAGUGCUCCAGCCAGCCAUUAAGGAUCGAUGUUUUAAUGUUCAACAACUGGCAACUCUUCGCGUGCUGCAGCGUCCACCCGGCACCAUCGGCUCCCCAGCCUCGCUUUUCCGCGGGCAGCGGGGGCGAGCGGCCCACGCAGGGGGAACCGGUUUUCUCCCAGUCCCGGUGUCCCGACUCCCGAAGUCAGGUCGGCCAGGCCGACCGCGGAGGAGAAACCAGGACCCGGCGACCCCCGUACAUCCCCGGCCAACCGCGCCGCCCGCGACUUAAGCAACUCAGCGACCCAGGCCGUGCGGGCCGCCAGCAAUAGAACAUUAACGAAGGCAGAAGUUGGUACCAGGAGUGGGGUGUUAUGACCAGCCUGCCCGUGUUUCUUUGUGGAAUAUGGACUUUGGAACUUGGGAUCGGAAGUGCUCUGCGCUCCGUCAUUAACCCUGUGAAAAGAGUUCUUUCCAGAUAAGCAGACACUUGGGGCUGUGGGGAGUGGAUACUGGUCCCAGUUUGCUACCAGCAAUCCCAACUCAAGACACAGCUCCGGACCAUGAGCAAAUGCCUCUGGAGAGCUUGGACACAAUCAAAUCACUUUUCGAGGGGCACUGUAGGGAUGGCGAUAGAUUUCUACACAGGAACGCUCAUCCCAAGAAGGCACGGAGGCAGUAUAAGGUGCAGGAAGGAAGUGGGCACGCUAGACAGAAAAGUCUCUCCGAACUUGUCUUCCCAGGAGAAAGGCUACAGGCUGAGUUUUAACUGCCCAACCAUCCGGGCACCUUUGCUUCUGUUAACCCUUUAAAGCGAAGGAAACAAAACCUACUAAAGGAUUAAUUUUAGGCCACAAAAGGUAACUUGCCAAACAAUCACAAAAGAACUGUUUGCAAGUGUUCUGUGUACCCUUCCUCUGUGCCCUCUGAUGUUCAGCCAGCCACCCUGAAGCCACCAGAAGUCACGACCAGUGUACACACGCGCACACACACACAGACACCUUGUAUGUGUGGGUCCCAAUGCCAGGCCUCAUUAAUAUUCAGACUUUUCCCAUUCUUCUCCUGCAG
Molecule: long non-coding RNA, 1056 nt
Organism: Rattus norvegicus (Norway rat)
Lineage: Eukaryota; Metazoa; Chordata; Mammalia; Rodentia; Muridae
Source: Ensembl